This 23-nucleotide non-coding RNA is filed under the name Arabidopsis thaliana (thale cress). The record is from RNAcentral. Lineage: Eukaryota; Viridiplantae; Streptophyta; Magnoliopsida; Brassicales; Brassicaceae.
UCGUAACGCCUAGGGUUUUCUUA